This is a long non-coding RNA of Pseudophryne corroboree (corroboree frog), 1210 nucleotides long. RefSeq lists it as uncharacterized. The transcript is spliced from 3 exons. NCBI's taxonomy places the organism in Eukaryota, Metazoa, Chordata, Amphibia, Anura, Myobatrachidae. The record is from RefSeq and is a predicted model, not a curated record.
CCGGCCACUGGAGGGCGGCAGAACACACUGAUGAGAAAAUGCUGUCUCUACAAAUCUGUCGCCCCCCACCUCCGUGAUAGCGCCUCACAUGAGGGCUCAGGCAUGUUGCCUGCACCCUUACCACCCCCCCAUCCCCAGGGCACUUUUAUUUUCCCUUUGCAGCCACAUGCUGCAGUGUGCUCAUACAGAAGCCGACGUUCUGCUGAGUUUGCUUCCUGCAUGGACAGGAACAGGAAGUCACUUGGUGCACAUGUGACUGUGAGAGAGGAGAGGAGAGGAGCCUUCAGACGUGAGGAGCAGCAGCCCAGCAGGUCUAUCAGAAAGCCAUACCAUAUGGGGGAGCACAGACUCAGGAACAGGAAGUCACUUGGUGCACAUGUGACUGUGAGAGAGGAGAGGAGAGGAGCCUUCAGACGUGAGGAGCAGCAGCCCAGCAGGUCUAUCAGAAAGCCAUACCAUAUGGGGGAGCACAGACUCAGUUUCCCACUGCCUAUCACCCACUGCCUCUCCCCGCCCGUCACCUCUCUCCUGAGACCCUCUCCCUAUCACUCACUGACUCUUAUACCGCUUUUAGACCAACAGCGCGGGUCGCAGCCGGGAGCCUGACACGGGUGCUACCCGGCUGCGCCCUGCGUCAGCUCCCUUUCCCACUGCACUCGCCAACCCGGCAUAUUGCCAGUGACGCGGCGGGGGUGGCACUUGGAGAUCACAUGAUCUCCAAGCGCCGCCCGCACAUUCACUGUACACUGCAAAGUUUGCCGAGUUGAACACGUGUUCAACCCUGCAAACCACCGGAGUUGGAAUACCGGGUCACUCGACCCGGAUUAUUCCAACUCGAACCUUUUACACCAGCCAGCAACACGGGUUAUGCACCUUCAUGUGCAAUAAUCCGUGUUAUAUGCUGGCGGUGUAAAAGGGGUAUUAACCCUCACUCCGUCACCUCUCUUCUAUUACACUCUUCCUGUUGUUCACCAUUUCCCCAUCACCUCUCUCGCUUGUUACCCAGUGACUCUCACCCUCUCAAUGUCACCCUCUGUUUUCCCCUCUGCUUGUCACCUUCCUCCACUCACUGGUCACUGCCUCUCCCUAGCUUCACUCUCUACCCUUCUCCCACUGCCUCUCCCUGCUGUUACCCUUUCCCCGUCCGCUCUCUCUCCUGUCACCCUCUCCCUGUCACCUACUGACUUUUCUGUGACCCACCGUCUCUAAC